UUUCACUAUAUAAACUGAACUUUAUAUCUAGCUACCUAAGAGCCUAGGAGCUAACUAGCUAAUCCUCUAUCAGUAUUCUAAUUAAGUAUAUACAACAAGAGACAGCAAAAUGGUAAAGUGUUGCAACAUGCAACAAAAUCUAGCUACCUAGUCUUGUUAUCCUUGUAUUAAUUUAUUAUAUGCUUUAUAUUGUUUUUUAUUUUGUAACAGCUUUAAUUUGAUUGAUGACUCUGUUAAUCAAUCUUCAGGUAGUCAUGAAGACUUUGAUUGUUGUUAUUUUUGCCUCUAUGUUGAUCCUUGGAACUAUUCAUGAAUCCCAUGCACAAAUUCUUCCAGUAAACAAUCGUCGGUUUCUUAGUAGUGGAGGUCCUGAUCGAGUUGUCCCUGGCGGCCCAAAUCCAUGUACUAAAGAUUGUCAUCAUCCUAGUACAUAUAGUCGAAAGACUCCUCCUGGUGAAGUGGAUCUUGCAGAAUAUUACAGCCCACCGGAAUACUAAACUUGCAGGCUCUAUAUAUAUAUAUAUAUAUGCGUGUGUAUAUAUUGUGUGUUUGAUUGGAAAUAAGGGGACCAACAUGCAUGUGGGGCCCAUGGAAGUUUCACCGGGUUUGAAGUAGGAUGAGCUUGUUUAAUUACGUGUCUUGUCUGUGUAUAACAGCAAAAGCUUGUGCUUUAAUUUACCUUAAUUUUUAUGGCCAAUGGAAGUUUAUUACAUGUACUUGUUUGAGUUCAACCAAUAAGCUUACAAGCUGAGAUGUGGGAAGAAAUAGUGUAAAUAAAGUUUGAUUGAUUUAACAGUAUCAUCCACCAUAACAUACUAGGGAGAAUUGCAGCUAAGGUGCCAAACAUUUCAUUUAGUAACAGACUUAAUUCAAAUCUUUCAUUUGUACC
RNAcentral lists this long non-coding RNA (889 nucleotides) under Olea europaea subsp. europaea. Lineage: Eukaryota; Viridiplantae; Streptophyta; Magnoliopsida; Lamiales; Oleaceae. The record is from RNAcentral.